Molecule: ribosomal RNA, 396 nt
Filed under: uncultured bacterium
Lineage: Bacteria
Description: bacterial SSU rRNA
Rfam family: Bacterial small subunit ribosomal RNA
Source: RNAcentral
AUUGAACGCUGGCGGCGUGCCUAACACAUGCAAGUCGAGCGGUAACAGGUGUAGCAAUACAUGCUGACGAGCGGCGGACGGGUGAGUAACGCUUGGGAAUCUGCCUAUUAGUGGGGGACAACCCGGGGAAACUCGGGCUAAUACCGCAUACGCUCUACGGAGGAAAGCCGGGGACCGCAAGGCCUGGCGCUAAUAGAUGAGCCCAAGUCGGAUUAGCUAGUUGGUAGGGUAAUGGCCUACCAAGGCGACGAUCCGUAACUGGUCUGAGAGGACGACCAGUCACACCGGAACUGAGACACGGUCCGGACUCCUACGGGAGGCAGCAGUGGGGAAUAUUGGACAAUGGGCGAAAGCCUGAUCCAGCGACGCCGCGUGGGUGAAGAAGGCCUGCGGGUU